GGGGAUGUAUUGCUUUGACGUCAAUCAGCUUUAAUCAUGGCAGAUCAUCUUUGGUGGCAAGAUGUUAAACAACACUAAAAUAUAACUGUCAAAAACAGUUUAAAAACAGCAGCUAAUAAAAUCGCAAGUCUUUUUGACUUCGGUUAUGCGGCUGCUCCAGCUUUUGCUUAAUUGCAAACGCCGGCAUUUAGCGAUGAGUUCAUAUCGACGACUCGCGCUAGGUGACAACCUAGUCGAUUGGCAAAAAUAAAGAAUCAGAUCGCUUUAUUUCCAAGAACUUGAUCUGGAUGAAGCAAAGAAAGUUUGUUUAUUAACUUUUUGUUUCACAUCAAAAAUAAACUAAAUCUGUAGACAUCAUUAGGGUCAGAUUAGCGGACGCGGGAGCAAAACCCGCCAUCUCCACCA
Molecule: transfer-messenger RNA, 405 nt
Filed under: Minisyncoccota bacterium
Lineage: Bacteria; Bacillati; Minisyncoccota
Rfam family: transfer-messenger RNA
About the family: Bacterial tmRNA, also known as 10Sa RNA or SsrA, is named for its dual tRNA and mRNA-like properties.
Source: RNAcentral